This 254-nucleotide ribosomal RNA is filed under the name uncultured bacterium. RNAcentral's name for it is "partial 16S ribosomal RNA". It matches the Rfam family "Bacterial small subunit ribosomal RNA", at positions 524 to 776 of the family's 1533-position model. The record is from RNAcentral.
UACGGAGGGUGCGAGCGUUGUCCGGAAUCACUGGGCGUAAAGGGCGCGUAGGUGGCCCGACAAGUCUGUGGUGAAAGCUCGACGCUCAACGUCGAAGUCGGCCAUAGAUACUGUUGGGCUGGAGCACUGUAGAGGCUCAUGGAAUUCCGGGUGUAGCGGUGGAAUGCGUAGAGAUCCGGAAGAACACCGGUGGCGAAGGCGGUGAGCUGGGCAGUAGCUGACACUGAGGCGCGACAGCGUGGGGAGCAAACAGG